Molecule: ribosomal RNA, 119 nt
Filed under: Pteropus vampyrus (large flying fox)
Lineage: Eukaryota; Metazoa; Chordata; Mammalia; Chiroptera; Pteropodidae
Source: RNAcentral
GUCUACGGCCAUUUCGCCCUGAAUGUGUCCGAUCUCAUCUGAUCUCGGAAGCUAAGCAGGAUUGGGCCUGGUUAGUACUUGGAUGGGAGACCACGUAGAAAUACCAGGUGCUGUAGGUG